RNAcentral lists this ribosomal RNA (647 nucleotides) under Pristimantis matildae. RNAcentral's name for it is "partial small subunit ribosomal RNA". It matches the Rfam family "Bacterial small subunit ribosomal RNA", at positions 295 to 1187 of the family's 1533-position model. Lineage: Eukaryota; Metazoa; Chordata; Amphibia; Anura; Strabomantidae. The record is from RNAcentral.
ACCUUGAAAUCAAUUCUUACUUGACUUACACAUGCAAGUCUCCGCACACCCGUGAAAACGCCCUUUCUACCCCCUCCGGAACAAGGAGCUGAUAUCAGGUAUAUUACCCAAAACAUCUAGCCACGCCACACCCAUAAGGGCCCUCAGCAGUGAUUAACAUUAAAAAUAAACGUCAGUUUGACUUAGCCAAACGAAAAUAGAGCCGGCCAAUCUGGUGCCAGCCGCCGCGGUUACACCACGUGGCUCAAAUUGAUCUCAACACGGCGUAAAGCGUGAUUAAAGAAACACACCUUCCGGGGUCAAACUAGAACUAAGCUGUAGUACGCCUGUUUUUAAGAAGCCCUACUUCGAAAGAUACCCCAAUUUAUCAACUUGAAUUCACAACAACUAGAACACAAACUGGGAUUAGAUACCCCACUAUGUCUAGUCAUAAACUUUAACUUACACCUCAAUCGCCAGGGAACUACGAGCAAAGCUUAAAACCCAAAGGACUUGACGGUGCCCCAUAUCCCCCUAGAGGAGCCUGUCCUAUAACCGAUACCCCCCGUUCAACCUCACCAUUUUUAGUUUAUCAGCCUGUAUACUUCCGUCGCCAGCUUACCGCGUGAGCGAAUUCAGUAAGCUUAAUGUAACCCACCAAAACGUCA